UCUCCACCAUUAACAUACUUUGGUUUUUCAUGCAUAACUUAAGCAUAAAUAUUACCAUGAAAAUCAUACCACAUAAGCAUAGAAGGUAUCUUACCGUAAAACUUGAAGAUCUUUGAUUGAAAUGAAUUGAAAGUGCUAAACUUUCUUCCUUCUCCUUUCCUUUCUUGAUUUCGGUUUUUGCCUUCUUUUUAAGUGUAUAAGUGUGUUGUAAAAUGAAGGAAAUAUUUCUAUGGCAAUGGAUAUGGAUGUAUUUAUACUCAUACAAAGAUAAGGAUAAAACUUGAUAUUUUUAUUUUUUAUUACUUGGUUUGGCCGACUUUGACUUCCCCCCCCCCUUUUUUUUUAAUAACUUUACAAUGUGUGAAAAUCAGUGUGACAUGAAUGAAUAGUAAAGAAAGCCUCUCUUUUAAGAAAGUAAAGAAAGAAAAGUAAUCCCCUCUCCUCACACACGUAAACAUGUAUGUAUGUAAAUGUGUAUGUACACAUCCAUAUAAUUUUCACCCUCUAUUAACAUUUUAUUUUUGCGUCCAGUGCAAUUUCAUUUUCUUCUACAGUGAAUGAAAAAUGGAGUGAAAUAGUGAUUUGAAAUUGUUGAAGUUGGCUAUGAAUGAUGAUAGUUGAUUCCUCACUAGCUUCGAAACGGCGAAAAUUCAUGACCUUCAACCUCAUGAACCAUGAAUAUGUAAACGUGGAUAUAUUUUCAUGCAUGUACAGAAACGAGAACAUACCUUAUAUGGAGCUAAAGGAAGACGAACCCAACUAGAUUUUCAUCUACAAACAAAGAAAGACUACGUACCUUAAAUAAAUAGUAAGAAAAUAAAAAAAGAAAUACACAAAAAAGAAAAAUUAUAAGAAGAACAUACCCAAAAUAAUUGUUGCAACUUCUAGAAUUUUCUUCUCCACUAUUGAUGACGAGAAAAUACGAAUUAGGCUAAAGGCAAAAGCGAAUAAUGGUAGAAGGACGCCCUUUUUUUUUCCAGAGAAAACAAGAUUUUGGGGAGAAUUCGUUCUGCAAAACAAUGGCUAGAAUUUAGAAAGAGAAGGAUUGAAUUGAUAGAAGAGUAUUGUGCGAAAUUUAUGUGGUAGGAAAAAAAAAUAAACAGCACACGACAUUUUACUUCAAAUGUGGGUCCCAUUCAUUAAUGUUUGGACAACUAUAUUUUUUAAUUCCCAUAUCACCCUUAACAUUAAUAUAGGUAUGGAAAUUAGUGUGUAGUUAGAAAGUGAAGGGUAAUUGUGCCAAAUUGUUUAUUAAAUAGAGGGUAUAAUGUUACUUUUGAUAUCUCAAUUAUGUGGGAAAAAGGACGAUCAUCUAAUAACUUUGCUAUAUACCUCGGGAAUGC
This 1343-nucleotide long non-coding RNA is filed under the name Olea europaea subsp. europaea. The record is from RNAcentral. Lineage: Eukaryota; Viridiplantae; Streptophyta; Magnoliopsida; Lamiales; Oleaceae.